UUUUGGUAGUGUUCUGUUUUUCUAUACUAUGUAUGUAUUUCCUCAGAAAAUAUUUCUUUCUUAGAAUGGAUUUAGGCUGUGUUAUGCCUGUGAAGUCAUAUUUAUUCUUCUGUAAAGGUGUCACUUAUCCGGAUGCUGCAUGAUUAAGACCACCAUACUCUUAUCAAGCAUACAGGUGUUAAUGUCUAUUUUAAAGAGGAGAGAACUCAAGAAGUUCUGUAGAAACUGCUUUCUUCAUCAUAUCUCAAAGGAUUUGCUGAGGAUUUCAGAGCUGCCACGAGUUGAGAGAAGACUUCGGACAUUUCACUUAAUGCUGAAAAUUCACUCUACUGCCACUACUCAGGACUUCUGA
Pan paniscus (pygmy chimpanzee) is the source of this 352-nucleotide long non-coding RNA. NCBI's taxonomy places the organism in Eukaryota, Metazoa, Chordata, Mammalia, Primates, Hominidae. The record is from Ensembl.